Molecule: ribosomal RNA, 394 nt
Filed under: uncultured bacterium
Lineage: Bacteria
Description: bacterial SSU rRNA
Rfam family: Bacterial small subunit ribosomal RNA
Source: RNAcentral
GAACGGGUGAGUAAUAUAUCGGAACGUACCCUGUGAGUGGGGGACAACGUACGAAAGUUACGCUAAAUACCGCAUACGAUCUAAGGAUGAAAGUGGGGGAUCGCAAGACCUCAUGCUCCUUGGAGCGGCCGAUUAUCUGAUUAGCUAGUUGGUGGGGUAAAGGCCUACCAAGGCAUCGAUCAGUAGCUGGCACUGAGAGGACGACCAGCCACACUGGAACUGAGACACGGUCCAGACUCAUACGGGAGGCAGCAGUGGGGAAUUUUGGACAAUGGGCGCAAGCCUGAAUCCAGCAAUGCCGCGUGAGUGAAGAAGGCCUGGCGGGGUUGUAAAGCUCUUUUGUCAGGCAAAGAAAACGGUUGAUUUUCUAAUACAAGAUCGGCUUAAUGACGGU